GAUUGCCUUCUGCACUGUCUCUAUUCUCUUACAUUAAAUCCCCUGACAGAGUUGUCCAGGCUUGUUCACUGAUAGUUCUAGGUUUGUUCACUGACAGUUCUUCUGUUCAUAAACAUAUUCUGGGGGUGACUGGAUCAUUUAGAGCUGCUGCUAAAUUGGGAUCAUGACAAGAGAAGUUGCACUCGUUGUGAUGAGCUUUAAACUUUAGCUGCCAACAUGCCAUGAUCAAAGAAUUCAUUAGAUCCUGUUUUGGCACUGUGGCCAAUUUACUGUGGGUUUGCUUUCUGGAAUUGAUCCGUGCAAAGUUUAACUGAUCCUAUCAGCUCCUCCAUACCCACAUUAGCCCCAACUUCUACAGCUUCCUGUCAACUUCCUAAAAGGUGCUUAUUCAAUGGGCUGAGUUAUUCUUGAUAGAUAAAAAAAUCCUGGCAGAUGAAACCAGACACCAUCCCUGUGGAAGAGAGCUGUCCUGGAACUGCAAGAGCUGAUGAUUUGCCAUUUCUGUAAUGAGAUGAUUUCCAGAGCCCACUUCUCAGUCUACAGGCACUGUGGGAUUUCCAGAGGGCUCUGUCCCGGGGAAGCCAGCAUAUCAGAUGACUCCAGGGCAUCAGCCAGGAGCUGUUCUCAUGGGUACCAAAGGCAGAUGAGUGGCUCAGGCUCUGGGGCAGGGAUUGACUGCUCCCUGCUUCCCAGGAGACACGAGCAGAACGCUCAGGAUCCAUCCUGCCUUCAGCCCCUGCCCAUGAAGAUGGAAAUGCCUCUUGCACCCCUGCUCUAGCAGCCUGAUCUUGCCCGUCACAUCCUUCUGGACUUUGUGGCAGGAUUCUGAGUGUCCCUGUGAAGCUGCUCUGAAUUUUGAGCGCGUGGCACCUUGUCUCCUCAGAGAGACAAAGACAUGCCCUUCUUUUAGAUCCAGCCUGCUGGAAAACAAGGUCAACCUGAUUGUUUUGGAACAGAUGGCUUCCUUCCAUGUAGUGGCAUUUCCCUGGCUAAAUGGAGCCUGACUAGACAUAAAUAUCAAAUGGAGCUAUAUGUGGAGCUAUAAGUAUAGCAUUGAAUUGUAGGGUUACGAGAAUUUAGAGCUGCUGAAGAAAUUAUUAUUUUUUCCCAAAAAAUUGGUCAGCACUUAUUAUAACUAACUAGUUUUCUUUAUCUUCAAUAGUCAUCCUUUAAAACAAGUUAAAAUAAGAGGUGACAGGUUAGCCCAGUACCCCCUGGGGAAGGUUUUCAGUGAAAGAUGCCUGGGAGCAACUGCACGAGAAGAGUUUGAUAUAUUCUGAACCAUGUGCCCCAGUGGAGUGAGGGUUUGUUGAGUUCUGUGGAGAUGUGAGCCAAACCAGACCUGAUCUGGAUACUAAAACAGGAGAUUGAUGGGAAAGCAUGGGUUAUGAGGCUGGAAAAAGUACAGGUGAAUUAAUGGCACGCAGAAAGACUACCUUACUGUUUCCAAGUAAAUGCAUGCUGCUGUCAGUUUUGUUUGUUGUUUUUUUUCAAAAUAUAGGGAAUAAUUGUGCCCCAGAUUCUUGUCUGACUGUAUUGCAGCAUGCCUGUGGGGGGGUAGGGGGAGUGCAUGCCUUAUUCAUGCAUUCGAGCAUUACCUGAGAUUUCCUGUUUUUCAGGGUGUCUGUAUGUAUUUCCUGGGCCUAUAAAAGUAAUUUAGAUAAUGUUAAUCAAUUGUUUCUAAUACUGUUGUGCAGGAGGGAGCCUUCAGAGGCCCAUUCCAGCUCUCAUUUCAUAUUGCUGAAAAAGCAGGCAGCCCCAGCAGUGAAGGUCCCUGCUGCAGGGUGUUUUACUCCUGUGAGAGUGGCCUUGGUGGCGUGGGGAGCUCUGCCUUUCCAAGAGGGGCAUUCAGAGCUCUCUUCUCCAGCUUUAUCUCAUUGGCUUUUUCAGAAAAAGCAGCAGAAAUCUAAUGUAAUCUCGUUGGAGUUCAGAGGCCCUGGCUCAGUAAGGGGAAAUGCUGCUUUAUGACUCAUUUCCACUUGUCUGCACUGAGUCACUGUCCAUCCCUGCUGCUGGAAUACCUGGAAGAGUCUGACUGCAUUCCUGGGCACUUGGAGUCUACCUGACUUCAGUGAACUGGAGGGAGUUCACCCAAAGACAGGGGAGCUGAAACACCACGAACUACAGGAAUUUAGCAAGUGUGUUUGAAAGCCUGGCUCAAAACUGUGCAGGUUUGCUUUGGCUGGUAGGUCCUGGCUGAGCAAGGACUGAAACACAGCCACGAGGACUUCAAAGGGGCUCACAUCUGAGCUAGAGCUGCAUUUCUCUUUCACAGCUUGGGCAAGUUUCAAGGGCAGAAACAAACUCCAAUGAGGAUUUGAGAUAUCAUCAGCCUUGCAAGUCAAGCACCAAGCUCAAGUGUACAGUGAAGGAAGGACUUGACUGAGUGCCCAGCCCUAUUUGUGUGCCUUUGAGCUCCUGUCUGAGCAGGGGGGAACCUCAGGAACUAAUUUACUGAGGAAACCAUCAGGAACACCUCCACCCCACCUCAGCUUUCCUCUUCCCGGGUUUCCUUCUGGCUCUUUGAGCUCUUUUUUUCAUCUGCUGGUUCUGCUUCCAGACAUGCUGCCAGCUCCCCACACUUUUGUCUUUCCAAUCAGGUUUCCCAGUGCCUGGGGUGACUGCAUCCCACAAGUCUCCCUGGUCCAGCUGCAAGUCCAGGAGCUGCUGUGGUCUCAGACAUGAGCCUGUUCAGCCUCUCCUCACAUAAUCCAUCCACACACGGCAAGAGAUCAAGGUAUUUUAAAAGCAAACCCAGCUCAUUACAAAAUAGAGAAUUAUCUGAAACAAGCAUUUGUGUAUAUUUAAAGGAUUUUUUUGUCUUUCUUCACGCAAAGGUUUUUUGUUCUGCAUCAAUAUUGAAGUUAUCCUGUUUUAAGAAAUUUAGAUGAAAACUAAUUUAAGACACUAUACCCCAGCUUUCUUAGAAAAAUGCUCGUUUUUUAAAACGUCCUUAUAAAAUGUAGGUAACAAAUACCACGCAUCAGCAUUGAGACUGAAAUAAAGCUAAAUGCAUCAUUUAUUUCUCAGUCAAGUUAGGCUAGCCAGCACCACAAAUUCAUAGGUUUUCAUUCUUUUUCUUGUGAUUUGGCUGCCUAAGGCACUAAUUAUGUAGCAAGGCAAUAUAGUGUAACAUUCCUUCACACAGACCUUGUCUUUAGUUUCAGUAUUUCCAAAGGAGAUCCCCCAGCCUGCUUGAAGCAACCUUCCAGAAGGCAAAGUCACUGUUCAGAGACCUGCUCUGCAGAGACACCUUUUCUGCCCCCAAGUAAAAGUGUUCCUGCUCAUGAGAGCUGUUGACCCUCUCCAGAUACUUCCAUCUAUCAACCCAGGUGUUAGUCCAGAGCAGCUCUGGGGUUUUUUGCUUUGCUAAGACCUGGUGAUGAGUGGAGUGACCAAAGGAGGGUGAGAGCACCUGCAGAGCUGCUGGCUGCCUUCCCAGCCCUGUGGUUGUGUCUGGCUCCUGCACAGAUCCCGUGGCAGCAGCUGAGAGCUUCCUUGCCCCGGUGAGGAUACAUCCCCUGGAACAAACACAGAGCACAAUAUUACUGUAAGCAGGUCUUACUGUAUUGUAUAAGGCAGCGGGGAAAUUAGCAGGAAACAAAGCAAAACCUGGCUCCAUUAAAUCUGAUUAGUAGUUUUUGCUAGUGAAUGCUGUCAGCACAGAGAUUUUGUGUUGUUUCACAGAGGUUGGCUGAUAGUGAGUGACUGAGGCUGAGCAAGGAGUGCUUGAUUUAUAUGUGCUGUGCCCAAAACAAUCUUGAUUUUCAUGUGUGGAUUUAAAUGUUCCCCAAGUCUGUGCAGAAGCGAGUCCCUGAAAAUUAACUUUCAAAGGCUGGAAAUGUAUUUCCCAGGUCCCUGGUUUUUUGGCCUUGCUCAUUAUAGGAGGCAUCCUUCCCUCUGAUUAAGUCUUUAUGAGCUAUGUGUUGCCAGAUGAACACAAAUAAAUAAGACUGAUUCAUGAGUUACCAGCCCUCAGUAAUUCUUGAUGAUUGAUGCACUCUUGGUGUGGUUUGGGUUGCACCUCCAGUGCAGCUGCUUGACACUGUCUGUACCUACCUUGUGCCUCUCUUUUCCCUCUGGGAGGGAGAACAGACCAUUCCUGAAGCCUGAACCUGGCUUCUGAAUUUCUGCAGUCUUUCAAGUUUGCUUUUGUUUGUUAUAUUUGACAUGUCUCUUGAAGUGGCUUAUUAGUGGCAUAUGAAUAUUGAGGAAUAUGAGGGCUUCUUUCUUCUUAGUUCUACAGCUGCAUUUUAGUUAGACCUCUUUUCCAUCACUUAACUCAUAUUAAAAAACAGUAUGCUUUGGAACAGAAAAUUAAAUGCUAUAAAUCAAUCUGAAAACUAAUAGCUACCAGAAGCUAAAUUUAAGUCUGUGAGCAGCCCAGGGGUUUGCUAUUUGGGCAGGCAAGUUUUCAGCCAGCUCUCUGGAUAAGAUGCAGAGAGGUUGCAUCAUUGCAAGGCUCUGGCUGGCAAAACAUGCCACAGGAGCAGAACACUGUUGCUUAGCGACUCAUGAAGGAUAAUUAACCCUUUCCCAGAACUCCCCAUAUUCCUAUGGAAGCCCUCCUGAGCCAUCAUUCUGGACAAUAAUUGAAUAUGAAGAAACUACUCUAAUAUCUUUAGCUAUUAGAUGUAUUGAUGUAUUAAUCAUUAAUGUUUAAUGAAGGACUGUCUUAAUCUUACCAUUAGUUACUGAAGGAGAUCACUAAAUCAAAAGCCAUCUGUCCAUGGUAUGACGUGUAAUUAUUGCAAAGGAGGGCUCAUAUAAUUACAGUAAAGGUGGAGUAAAAAGU
This is a long non-coding RNA of Passer domesticus (house sparrow), 4795 nucleotides long. RefSeq lists it as uncharacterized. NCBI's taxonomy places the organism in Eukaryota, Metazoa, Chordata, Aves, Passeriformes, Passeridae. The transcript is spliced from 3 exons. The record is from RefSeq and is a predicted model, not a curated record.